This 244-nucleotide long non-coding RNA is filed under the name Capsicum annuum. RNAcentral's name for it is "long non-coding RNA (CANN_LNC006682)". Lineage: Eukaryota; Viridiplantae; Streptophyta; Magnoliopsida; Solanales; Solanaceae. The record is from RNAcentral.
UUACCAUGGAUACAUCAAACCUUCGCUAAACCAUACUAACUUCUUCGUGCUUUACUAACAUCACAUCUCAAACUAACACCCUCGUCAACCUCUAAUGCCCAAGUUAACUCACAAUUACAUCGUAUACCACAUAUCCUCAUUCAUACUUACCCGAUCAAGGAUAACACUAAUCGUUUAACAUUUAAUAACUUAAAAAAAUCCCCAUAACACCUUGAGCAUACUACUACCUCAACACACAAUAUCA